RNAcentral lists this ribosomal RNA (497 nucleotides) under uncultured bacterium. Its description in RNAcentral is "partial 16S ribosomal RNA". It matches the Rfam family "Bacterial small subunit ribosomal RNA", at positions 28 to 507 of the family's 1533-position model. The record is from RNAcentral.
GAUGAACGCUGGCGGCGUGCCUAAUACAUGCAAGUCGAGCGAACGGACGAGAAGCUUGCUUCUCUGAUGCUAGCGGCGGACGGGUGAGUAACACGUGGAUAACCUACCUAUAAGACUGGGAUAACUUCGGGAAACCGGAGCUAAUACCGGAUAAUAUUUUGAACCGCAUGGUUCAAAAGUGAAAGACGGUCUUGCUGUCACUUAUAGAUGGAUCCGCGCUGCAUUAGCUAGUUGGUAAGGUAACGGCUUACCAAGGCAACGAUGCAUAGCCGACCUGAGAGGGUGAUCGGCCACACUGGAACUGAGACACGGUCCAGACUCCCACGGGAGGCAGCAGUAGGGAAUCUUCCGCAAUGGGCGAAAGCCUGACGGAGCAACGCCGCGUGAGUGAUGAAGGUCUUCGGAUCGUAAAACUCUGUUAUUAGGGAAGAACAUAUGUGUAAGUAACUGUGCACAUCUUGACGGUACCUAAUCAGAAAGCCACGGCUAACUACGUG